CAAAUACCUUAUGUCCAAAGAACUGUGCUGCACCCAAAUAGUCAUCUAACCGUAUUUCAGUCUCGGGAUGAGCCUCAAUGCUAAAUUUUUUAGUCCAAGACACCUCUCCAGAAACAUUAUCUAACGUCCAUAGGUUUAUUUCAAUUCCAGACUGAAAGACCAUAGCGACAGAACCUUGGAAAUCCAAAACAUCUGACUCCAUCUGUGUAGAGCUAGGGAUAGGAACUAGUCCAAAAAUCUCAUUGUGCAAAUCAAAUGAGACUAAGUGUUCCCUACGAUAUUUAAAAUACAGUACCCCGUCUACAACAACAUUAGCUGAGCCAAAGUGCUUAACACCCUUCAUAAUAGGAGCCUUAAAUUCAUUAGUCCAGGAAUCAGCAUUCGACGAAUAAACCUGAACUAAUGGUUCGACAUCAAACAUUUUCUCAGACACAAUCCUAAAGACCUUGUAGUCAUCGGAGAUAGGAUCAUAACCAAACCCUACUUUAACCGGCACAGUAUCACAAGUGUGGGGCUCGGGAGCAGGGAGUUUCUUAAACUUCCCGAUUGACGGAUUCCAAAGAUAGACAAAAUUACCGAACAAAUUAGCUAAACAGAGGAUGCCAUCACAAACACUUUUAAUACUAUAAUGUGUAGAGAAAAGACGUGGCAUAACAAGACGAUUAAAUUGUACCGGACAGCUGGACAAGUCUUGGGCUGCGGCAUCAAGAAGCGCCUCAUCAACAAGUUCACGUCGACGUUGCUGUUGUGGACUAAUAGUGGAAUUGGAAAACAAUGUGCCGAAACGCCUCUCCGUCUCGGCCUCGAAGGCCAAUUUUCUUGCCAAUUCCUCCUCGGUGAGCGGGGGUCUGUGUAUACAGAGCAGUGUGGGUGUGUUCAUUGAGGCCGUGAUGGCGCGAUGGAGUUGAGAUUUCACGAAAUGAGGGGUUGAGAUGAGUGAUAGCCAUGGCUUGCAGACGGACUUGCAUUGGAGAAGUGAUUUGACAGGGAGUCGAACAAGUAUUUCGGAGAUCAAUCCUUCAGGUAAAUAGUUGAUGGACUUUUUUGCCAUUGUGGUUUUGGAAGAGGAAAUGGUGAAUAAGUUGUGAAGAAAGGGAAAGCUCAAUGUUGCACUGUAGUUUACAUUGAUCUGGGAUGAAAUACUUUUAAGAGCAUAUCCAAGAGGCUCCUAACUUCUUAUUUGAGAAUGGAGAGGAAAAAUGUUGCUCGCUCUUAAAUUACUAAGAGGCUCUUGUUUCUCUCUCCUCUCUCCUCAAAGUUAAGAGCCACCAUAUGGCUCCUAAUUUAUUUUUUACAAUAAAAAAAUUCUUAUCUCCAAUUCACCUCCAUUUUUCCUUCUCUUUUGUUACAGUGGAGCCCAAUAUCUAUACUAUCUAUCUAUACUAUACUAUAAAAAGCCAACAUGGGUAUAAUUUGUAGUCGUACAAAAUUUUGGUUUGGUACUCUCUUGGUUUAAUACUCUCCUCUAAAACUAAAAGUCUACAAAUCUAGAUAUCUAUUAAAUAGUUUCAUACACUAAAAACACUCCUUAUGUAUAUUAAUAUAUCUUUUUAAAUAUAAUUUAUAAUUAGUUGGAAAAAGUGAAACUACUAUUAAUAACAAAUAUUAAUAUUAAAAAAUACUAAUUGAUAAAUGUAUAACUAAUUAUAAAUAUAUAAUUUUGAAUAUCUUUUGUCUAAAAUACAUAUAAAUAAUUAGAGACGCUACUUUUUAAUUAUAACGUAUUCUCCUCGAAAUUUAACUUCAACGUGUUCUAUUUCAUUACAAACACGAACCAUUACGUAACAUACGAAUAUAUAUGAAAUAUGAAAAUUUUGAUUUAAAAAUUAAUUGAAUAAUAAACUGUCACAUAUUAAUAUCAUAAAAAUAUGUAUAGAUAGAUAAUAAAUUGUGAAAACUAAAUUUCAGUUAGUAGAUAUAAUCAGUUGGUUGAUAUAAUUUAACUAAAAUGCAAUUCAUUAAUACUAAAAUACUAAUAAAAUGGUGUUAAGAUAAUUAAUAAAUUACGAAUUAUAUAACCGCCCGUGCUUUGCACGGGUUAAAGGCUAGUAUGAAUAAAAUAUGAAAUAGAGAAGAGAUGCAGAAAGUAUUGUUGGAAUUUACACUCUUAACUUUGUCCUAAAUUACUAAAAAUCAUAUUUUUUAUAUUAUAUUUAAAAGUCAACAAGAAGACUCUUGGAGAAGCUCCAAGGCCCAGUCAAAUCACAUUAAAAUGUGUGUAAAGCGUCGUAUAAAAAAAAUUGCUAUGAUGGUAUUAAUGGUCUGAAAUAAGUACUCCUAGGUGUAAUGAUCUCCAAACCUCGAAUAGAUACUAGUAGUAGAUGCAUAGCCUCUGCUGCAAGAUGCGACGAAGCAAAAGAUUGUUAAAAUCACGUUAGGGGUAAUUGCACGAUCUUUUGGGCAAACUUAAAAGAAGAGUCUCUUUAUUUUAAAAAUGGAGAUGAGAAGUAAAUAAAUGAAUAAAAUAUUUAGAAAAUAAGUAAAAAUUGUGAGAGAGAAGUUGGAUUCUCAGCUUCUUAAAAAUAGUUCUACUUUUUUAAAUAAAUGGAUUAAGAAAAACAGAAGCUGCUUCGUGCAAACAUACACGCCCUAUACUCUUCAUUAAAUGUUUAGUGCAAAUUUUACUCCACUGCUUUGCAUUCUUUUCACUUCUCAACCAACCAACAAUUUUGUCUACUGCACUGGUGGAUUAAGGUUCUCUCUGGAUUAGUGUUGAAAAUAGCUCUGAUGUCAUAAAAAAUGUUAGAAUUUUUUUUUAUAUAUAAAUCAUAAAGUUGUUUAAUAAUUUUUUUUUGAUAUUUAUAUAUUUUGGUUUAUAAUACCAAAAAAAAAAAUUUAUAAGUUUUGAUAGUGAAAUAUACGAUAAUUUUCCGCCAAAGCUGGUUUUUUGCAAAAGAAUGAGAAGAUCUAUGUUUUCUAAAAUCAGUUUUUAAACUAAAAUUGCUAUUAUUUUUUUAGCACCAAUGGAUAGCCCAAUUGAUGGGUUUAUCAUAAACUAAUUUUUAAAACAUAUAAGUCUGUAUUGUAAAAAAAAAAAAGCUUUUUCAAAAUUUAUCUAAAACAUUAAUAUAAAACACUACUACUUAAGUAUAUACUUUGUCCCACUAAAUUGUAUAUAUUACUUUUUAACACGUAUUUAAGAUUUUUCUAAAGUAUAACUUCAUAUCAAUUUUUUUUCGAAUAAAAAUUUGAUUUUAAAACCUUUAUUAACAAAAAAUUAAAAAUAUAUUAUAAAAUUAUAUUUUAUAAAAAACCUUAAAAUAUAUACAAAUAAUGAACAUAUACAUCCUAUGGAAUAGGGUUCGGGUACUUCUAUUUUUAAUUAGUACUCUAAAUAAACGUAUAAUGUUGCAAGCAAAGAACUUUAGCCAGUUGCCCUUGACAUGUAAUCUGUUUUGAAUACAAGGUUUGCAUCCAAAGAUUUAAUGAAUUCAUAAUAAUUUUAGUAAAUUCUACAUGAUCUUCAUUUUGUACGGACAAAUAUUAGACCAAAUAUGGAAUCCUUAAAUUUGAACAUAAUUUGUAAUAGAUAAUUUGUGAGGGUGAACCACAUUAUACUUAGAAUUUAGACCAUAUAUUAGAUAUAAAUAGGAUGUAUGGUUAAGAUUAUCACUGAUAUCAUGUUAUAUAUUUAUGUGACAUUUAUAUGUAUGCAUGUCUAAUAAAUGAGAGUUAAUAAUCAGAUUUAUUACUUUCCAUGAUUAAUACAAAUCUCAAUUAAAUUUUAUGUAUAUAAAUCAGUAUUACAAAAUUAAAUAUAUCAAAUAUUUUGUUUUCAUACAUGGAAAUACAUAACAAAUUUGCGUGAUUUAAUUCUAUACGUGUAAAUGUAUAACAAAUUUACGUGAUACUGUUGCAGCACUUGUACUAAUAUAAAAGAUGGUGUUAUAAUGCAAUAUUUUUCUAAAAAGAUGGAAAUACUGCUAUAAUACGUCAAAUAUCAUACUUAUAUUAUUUAAUAAUUAUACCGAUACUAUUGCAAUACAUAUUCUUUUUGAAAAAAAUAAAAGUACUGCUAUAGUACAUCAAAUACUAAUAUAAAAGAUGGCGUUAUAAUGCAAUAUUUUUCUAAAAAAAAUAGAAAUACUGCAAUAGUACGUCAAAUAUCAUACUUAUAUUAUUUAAUAAUUAUACCGAUACUAUUGGAACACGUAUUUUUUUAUAAAAAAAUAAAGGUACUGCUAUAGUACAUCAAAUAUCAAACUUAUUUAUAUGAUAAUUAUACCGAUACUAUCGCAUUACAUUAAAAAUAUAAUAUCAAUACACCAGCCAUUUAAUUAUAGAAGGUAAAUUUAAAUUUUGCCACAUAUAAUUAUUGAAGUUAAUGCAUGCAUUAAUUACCUACGUCCUACAAUCAUAUAUAAAAGACAAAAGUACAUAGCCAAUUUUAAAUGCAUUAUUUGAUCUUAGCCAUUAGUUUAAUCGGAAUCUAAUGACUUUAUAUGAGUUCUAAGUUCUAACUUUAAAACUGGUCUCACCCUAAUUUUUGUGAUAUCCAUUAUAAUAUUUAUCGCGUAUAGAAUAGAAUAAAAAAAUUAUUACAAAAAAAUCUGAGCCCCAAACACUCUUUGAAAAAGCUGAGAGAAGAGGAUUUAAAAUACUUCUAGUAUUAGGCUUUUUCUUUAUAGUUUAAUAAGAUUUUGAUUACUAAAGACAGGCAUCAGCCGCUAAAUAGUGAUCAACAAUCAAAAUUAACCUAAACAUGUAAUCUAACAGCAAUCAACAUUAGCAGUACACUAUUAGCAUAUCAUAAUAUAAGCAACCAAUCCAGCCUGCCACAGCAAAGAUUAAGAUUUAGAAGCUUGCAUUCAGUACUUAAAACAUAGAUAGCCAUAUAAAAGAUUAGUAAACCAUUCAGUAAUAUAGAUGGCCAUAUACAGUACUAGUAGCUAGUAGAUGCAUCUCAUGCGGACAUCAGGUUCUCCCUCGUAGAUAUGAAGCACAAAACUAACAUAUAUUGUGGUAACUGCUUCCGCAAUCACACUUCACUUGCAAUGAUAAUGGUCAACAUACGGUAUUCUGCAAAAGAUUAGAAAGAUAUCAGGCAAAAGCUUCGAGCAAUAUUUGAGCUAUAAUUAUGUGACUACAAUCACUAACUUAAGCCAAGUGGCUAGAAAAUCUAGCUACCAUGAUAUAACCAAAUUUGACAUUGAUUAAGCUUCACUCGCAAAGCCCCAUCUUCCAUCUUUUUCCUAUAUUCACAUAAGAGGCGAAAGUGGAACCUAGACAGUUGAUACUAGGAAGACAUGUUUUCACGACUAAUUAAUAAACACUUUGGGGUGAUAUGGAAAUAUAGUUAACCAUGUACUUAUGUUGAGUCGCCUAAGCUACGCGCCCUGCUUAAAUUUAUCUACUUGAGGACUAGUAUGAAAGAAUAUCAACAAGCUGCAUUUCAUGAAGGUAAAUUAUCAGAAUCACUAGCUAAUAUCGAUUGAACAGCCAAUGAGCCAAACAUGUUACUUUCUAGAGAACUAGAAAUAAUUUGAAAGAUACAAAUAUUACCUCGAGAUUGUUUCUAGUGGAGACAAUUCAGAUGCACGCCUGUUGCCCAUUUACUGCACUUGCUCAAAGCCAUCUAGUGAAACAAGCGUUUCUGUGUAUUUGAGAGAAGCACGCACAUUUUCUUCUUCAUGUUUAUAAACUUUGGUUUCUUUCUUCUCAUAGUCAUACAACACAUAAUACAGGAAGACAAUGCUGUCCAAUAACUUAUGUCCAAAGAACUGUGCCGCACCCAAAUACUUAGUUAACCGCAUUUCAGUCUCAGGAUGAGCCUCAAUGCUAAAUUUUUUAGUCCAAGACAACUCUCCAGAAACAUUAUCUAACGUCCAUAGAUCUAAUAUUUCAAUUCCAGACUGAAAGACCAUAGCGACAGAACCAUGGAAAUCCAAAACUUCCGACCCCAUCUGUGUAGAGCUAGGGAUAGGAACUAGUCCAAAAAUCUCAUUGUGCAAAUCAAAUGAGAUUAAGUGAUCCUCAU
RNAcentral lists this long non-coding RNA (5977 nucleotides) under Daucus carota (carrot). RNAcentral's name for it is "long non-coding RNA (DCAR_LNC003764)". The record is from RNAcentral. Lineage: Eukaryota; Viridiplantae; Streptophyta; Magnoliopsida; Apiales; Apiaceae.